Molecule: ribosomal RNA, 565 nt
Filed under: Escherichia coli
Lineage: Bacteria; Pseudomonadati; Pseudomonadota; Gammaproteobacteria; Enterobacterales; Enterobacteriaceae
Description: partial 23S ribosomal RNA
Rfam family: Bacterial large subunit ribosomal RNA
Source: RNAcentral
GACUUAUAUUCUGUAGCAAGGUUAACCGAAUAGGGGAGCCGAAGGGAAACCGAGUCUUAACUGGGCGUUAAGUUGCAGGGUAUAGACCCGAAACCCGGUGAUCUAGCCAUGGGCAGGUUGAAGGUUGGGUAACACUAACUGGAGGACCGAACCGACUAAUGUUGAAAAAUUAGCGGAUGACUUGUGGCUGGGGGUGAAAGGCCAAUCAAACCGGGAGAUAGCUGGUUCUCCCCGAAAGCUAUUUAGGUAGCGCCUCGUGAAUUCAUCUCCGGGGGUAGAGCACUGUUUCGGCAAGGGGGUCAUCCCGACUUACCAACCCGAUGCAAACUGCGAAUACCGGAGAAUGUUAUCACGGGAGACACACGGCGGGUGCUAACGUCCGUCGUGAAGAGGGAAACAACCCAGACCGCCAGCUAAGGUCCCAAAGUCAUGGUUAAGUGGGAAACGAUGUGGGAAGGCCCAGACAGCCAGGAUGUUGGCUUAGAAGCAGCCAUCAUUUAAAGAAAGCGUAAUAGCUCACUGGUCGAGUCGGCCUGCGCGGAAGAUGUAACGGGGCUAAACCAUG